UGUCGCUGAUAGUUUUUUUUCCCGCAAUCCGGAUGGGGGCGCGAAUUGGGGCUUUUUAUAAAUUCGUCAUGGGGUGGGAAAGAACUGAUCACAGAUUUACCCACCAUAAUCGAGAGUAAGCUAAGUGCACCAUGAGUUGAAUAGACAAUGAUUUGCAGUGUUGAGUCGAAAGAAGUAAAGGAAACCGCAGAUUUUCCCUCGCAGGAAUUGUUCUGUUAUGUUAAUAAAGCGCAACUUGGCGGCUUGGUAGCGUAGUGGACAGGCGUCGGCCUCUUAUGCCUUUGGUUCUAAACUUAACCUUCAACCCAAGUGCUCGAAAAGUUGGCAGCUUUUACAGGGUUUAGAUCCCGUGUCACAAAAACAAGUGGCAAGAAAUGCGACUAAAUUACGUGUUGUUAAAAAAGGGAGGAGGAACCCUUCAUAACUGUCUCUCCUCAUCGGAUAUUGCUGCGCCGACGCCUAAAGUUGUUCUAGCAGGCGCCUUCGUGACCCCGAGUUGUCAUCUGACAGAAUAUUGGCAGCAGCCCCUGAAGGUGCCGAACACAUGACCCGGAACUUCAUAGCCCAGCAAACGAAAUUAACUGCUCUGGCAGUACCUUCACUGCUGCAGCUCCAGGCGGCGAGAAGUUAGCUAUUGAAGGUGAUGUGGAUUCGUACUGUUGUGUUGGAGGCGUCCAUGGACCUCGUAGUGCGUUUUGAUCCCCUGGCUGGCCUUUGUUAAACAAAUCUAGAAGCAUCAAAGAAUUUGCGCAGUUUUUUGCAUGACUGCUGUCAGAAGCACGUGUAUCCUGCUCAAUUUAAAAAAAAAAAAAAACAAUUUCCAACAUACGGCGCUUUGUUGUUAAAUAGUACAGGCUCGACGAGAGGCUAUGUCAGCCUUAUCGGAAACUAGGGGCCCGAGCCUUUGGGGGGUCCGGCGACACUGACACAAAAAAAAGAAGAAACAAAGAAAAAGAAAAGAGGAAAGAAAAAGGUGUAAAAACUCCUAAUAAGUAAAAACGUAAAGAUAAAGUAAAAUUUACUUUUUUGGUAUUUUCUGUUGUGGUAACUAAAAUAGAGUUAAUUAUUUUCUAAUAAGUAGUUUUGAAUUUUUUCCCCUCCCUCUUUUUUCUUUUUUUUUCUUCUUUUCUUCUUCUUUUCGGGGGCCCGGCUACGUAACUGACAAGGGACUCUCCUUGACUCUCUGUGCUCCUGAAAUGGUAUGUAUUCACAAUGAUGUGGGAUGCGGAAUAGAGUUUUUUCUGAAGAUGAAGCUGGUAAAACCUUUGUUGAAUAGUAUAAAAAUUUGUAAGUUUUUUUCAUGUAGCAUUUUUCUU
Uloborus diversus is the source of this 1316-nucleotide long non-coding RNA. RefSeq lists it as uncharacterized. The record is from RefSeq and is a predicted model, not a curated record. The transcript has 4 exons. NCBI's taxonomy places the organism in Eukaryota, Metazoa, Arthropoda, Arachnida, Araneae, Uloboridae.